Non-coding RNA from Microcebus murinus (gray mouse lemur), 499 nucleotides. The record is from RefSeq and is a predicted model, not a curated record. NCBI's taxonomy places the organism in Eukaryota, Metazoa, Chordata, Mammalia, Primates, Cheirogaleidae.
GUGAUUUUCGUGGAUUGAUUGACAGCUUGAAUGGGUCUCGUCUGUGACCUCGACGUGGGCUGUCACCUCCCUCAGACCCAGUAGGCUUCUCUGCCUCAGGCCUCUGGGUGUCAGAAGAGUGAGGAGACCGCGGAGAAUGCUGAGCUCAGACCCUCCUCUGGCUGUUUGUUCCCCAGCUGGUUCCGGGCUCGGGUGUCACAUGCAGCUGGACCUGGCGAAAACAGUGACGUCCACCUUUGACCAGCCCACGCCACGUGCCGUGCUUGUGCAGAGCGCUCCCGAUGGCCACAGCUUACUUGCUCAAAUCAACACACAAACCCGUUGACUGCAGUCCUGGAGCCCAGCUGUGCUGGAGCCAGGCGCUGGCAGGGCCGAGUCCCUUCCUCGCCGCUGCCAUCUUCUAGAGCCCGCCGCCUUCCGGCCCUGCCCCGCCUCCACAGGGCGUCCCGCCCGCCUCUGCGCCAUCUCCUCCUCUGGCUCUGACCCUCCGUGCCCCUCU